This 1225-nucleotide unclassified non-coding RNA is filed under the name Hevea brasiliensis (rubber tree). The record is from RNAcentral. Lineage: Eukaryota; Viridiplantae; Streptophyta; Magnoliopsida; Malpighiales; Euphorbiaceae.
AAGGACAUCAAAAUAUAGAGAAAUAGAAAAUGCAGACAGGAGACUUCAAUUUCUAUUUCUCUAUAUUUUGAUGUCCUUCAAUUAUUGGAUAACAAUAAAAUACAUCAACUCUGAAGGCCGAACAGAAUGAGCUACGGCAGCAAAUCAUUGCCAUUGACACAAAUCUAAGCCAAAAUUGCCCACAGAAGAAGACCUAAGUUACAACUAAGCCACCCUGACAAAAAUAACAAGCAACCAGAAUGCCAAGCACAGCUCCAGCAAAGACUUGUAGCGGAGUAUGCCCAAGAAGUUCCUUGAGUUUUCUCUCACUGAUAGGAUGCCCUUGAAACAGGUCCUUAACGAUCAGAUUAAGAACCUCAGCUUGCAUUCCAGCGUGACGCCUAACACCAAUUGCAUCAUACAUAACUAUAAGGCUAAACCCCAAACAAACUGGAAAUAACGAAUCAGCCACCCCGUGACAAAGCGCCACUGAUGUUGUCAAAGCAGUGCAUAAAGCAGAGUGUGAAGAUGGCAUCCCUCCAGAAGCAAACAGUAUUCUUAAAUCCCAUUUCCUCUCCACAAAGAAAUUCAAAAUCACCUUUAUUGAUUGGGCCACAAACCAUGCGAGUAAACCCGAUAUAAAAGUUGGGUUUGCUGCCAAUGUCGCCACAAAAGGACUAAUUCGAACCUUAGCGUUCGAUGUAAUGCUUAAUAAAGCCACUCCAAAAGCUCCGUUUUGCAAGUAAUUGCCACUGUAACAGUUCAUUGCUUUCUCCGAUUCCUCGCUACAAGCUCGUAGGCGAGAAACCCAUUUCUUGGUUUGAGAAGAAGCUACGCCCUUGACGCGUUGAAAGAUUGGGACGAAAACCCAUAAAGGGUUAAAAGAAAAGACGUUACUAUUACAGUCUGAAUUGGGGUUUUGCCGAUUUGAAGGAGUUCUACUGGACAAACAAAUAGGAGAAGUUUUAAAUUUGGUAAAAUAAGUCAACUUGAAGAAUGACAAGUGUUUAGGAUAGAAAGAUUUAGCGCUGGGAUUUGGAGGAUUCAAAAAGAAAUAGUUAAAACUGGGUUUAAGGAUUAAAGAGUCCAUGAGAGGAGACUUCUACGCUUGAGCUCAGUUUCAGUCAGCAUUUCAGAGAGGAACUCUGACGAAGAAACGAAAGGCUAAGUUAGAGUUUGAAACACCGCACCAGAAAGGGAUUCGCUACAGUGGAUAGGAACUAGUGGUGGAGCAAGAGACCUUCGU